UAACGGCGAGUGAAGCGGCAAAAGCUCAAAUUUGAAACCCUCGGGAUUGUAAUUUGAAGAUUUGGCAUUGGAGAAAGCUAACCCAAGUUGCUUGGAAUAGUACGUCAUAGAGGGUGACAACCCCGUCUGGCUAACCGUUCUCCAUGUAUUGCCUUAUCAAAGAGUCGAGUUGUUUGGGAAUGCAGCUCAAAGUGGGUGGUAAACUCCAUCUAAAGCUAAAUACUGGUGAGAGACCGAUAGCGAACAAGUACUGUGAAGGAAAGGUGAAAAGAACUUUGAAAAGAGAGUGAAAUAGUAUGUGAAAUUGUUGAUAGGGAAGGAAAUGAGUGGAGAGUGGCCGAGGUUUCAGCCGCCCCUCGUGGGCGGUGUACUGCCGACGCCGAGUCAUCGAUAGCGAGACGAGGGUUACAAAUGGGAGCGCCUUCGGGCGUUCUCCCCUAACCCUCCACACUGGCACCGACGACAUAAUCCACCCAUUUCACCCGUCUUGAA
Molecule: ribosomal RNA, 492 nt
Filed under: Yarrowia lipolytica
Lineage: Eukaryota; Fungi; Ascomycota; Dipodascomycetes; Dipodascales
Description: eukaryotic LSU rRNA
Rfam family: Eukaryotic large subunit ribosomal RNA
Source: RNAcentral